GGGAGAAGAACUGCUGAGUUCUUACUAACCAAGGGCAUGCCAAUGUCACUGCCAGAGUGCAAAGGACCUGGAGGAGGGAGCUACUGAUCUCUUAGAGGUCACUGAGCUACUCUCCGCUAAAGUUGCUCUCUGGGAAGAAGGAGAGAGGAGCUGUGUGCGUGCAGCCCCUGCUUCAUAGCCACCCGAACAACGGGGAAAGGCAGUAAAAAUGAAUGGGAAGGAGGUAGCUGAAGGCCGUCCUAGGGUUACAGCAGACCAGGUGACUCUGCUACUCUAGAACCACAUGACAGUGUGUCGUCUGCCAAG
This 306-nucleotide long non-coding RNA is filed under the name Mus pahari (shrew mouse). RNAcentral's name for it is "lncRNA (MGP_PahariEiJ_G0004627.1)". Lineage: Eukaryota; Metazoa; Chordata; Mammalia; Rodentia; Muridae. The record is from RNAcentral.